UACAUGGGAUGCAAGCGUUAUUCGGAUUUACUGGGCGUAAAGAGUCCGCGGGUGGAUUUGCAAGUCUGGUGUAAAAUACAACUGCUUAACGGAUGUAUGCAUUGGAAACUGCAAAGCUAGAGUGUAGUAGAGAGUUUUGGAACUCCAUGUGGAGCGGUGGAAUGCGUAGAUAUAUGGAAGAACACCAGUGGCGAAGGCGAAAACUUAGGCUAUUACUGACACUUAUGCACGAAAGUGUGGGGAGCAAAUAGG
Molecule: ribosomal RNA, 252 nt
Filed under: uncultured bacterium
Lineage: Bacteria
Description: partial 16S ribosomal RNA
Rfam family: Bacterial small subunit ribosomal RNA
Source: RNAcentral